This 473-nucleotide long non-coding RNA is filed under the name Hordeum vulgare. RNAcentral's name for it is "long non-coding RNA (HVUL_LNC009794)". The record is from RNAcentral. Lineage: Eukaryota; Viridiplantae; Streptophyta; Magnoliopsida; Poales; Poaceae.
UUGUUGCUGUUGUUGUUGUUGGUGGUGGUGUUGGUGUUGUUGUUGUUGUUGUUGUUGUUGCUGUUGUUGUUGUUGUUGUUGUUGUUGUUGUUGUUGUUUGUUGUCGUUGUUAUCGCUAUUGUUGCUGUUGUCGGCGUUGUUGUUGUGUUGUUGUUGUUUUUGUUGUUGUUGCUGUUGUUGUUGUUGUUGUGGUUGUUGUUGUUGUUGUUGUUGUUGUUGUUGUCAUUGUUGCUGUGUUCUCAUCAUUGUCUAUGUUGUCGUCGUCGACAUCCUCGUUGUUGUUGUUGUUGUUGUUGUUGUUUUUGUUGUUGUUGUUGUUGUUGUUGUGGUUGUUGUUUUCGACGUCGUUGUUUUUCUUGUUGUUGCUGUUGUUGGUGGUGGUGGUGGUGUUAUUGUUGGCGUCGUCGUCGUCGAAGUCGUCGUCAUCCUCAUCCUCGUCAUCUUCAUUGUUCUCGUCAUUGUCGUUGUUUUUG